This 895-nucleotide long non-coding RNA is filed under the name Medicago truncatula (barrel medic). RNAcentral's name for it is "lncRNA gene12568". Lineage: Eukaryota; Viridiplantae; Streptophyta; Magnoliopsida; Fabales; Fabaceae. The record is from RNAcentral.
AUUUUUAUUUUUUCAUUAAACAAAUUAAUAUAAAUAAUUAAUUAUGUGGAUAAGACAGGGGAGGGGGCAAAAUCCAUAAAAACAUAAAACAGAGGGGUAAAAUUCCGAGUUUUAAAAUGCGAUAGUCAAAAUCUAGAAUCAAUCAAAAUAGGGGGAUAAAAUUCCGAGUUUUAAGAUAGGAGGGCAAAAUCCAAAUUCAAUCAAAAUAGAGGGUAAAACUGCACUUAAGCCUUAAAAAUAAAAAGGCAACCACCAUUUGCAGCUUUUUUAAUUAAUUAAAACAAAAUUUGUUGGAUGGGUUGCUCAAUAAUUUUUUAACGGUAAAACAAGCCUCGCUCAACAUACUAUAACAAGCUUCAAUCAAUUGACCUUAAGGUUGAAUAUUUCUCAUCCACAUUUUAAGAUUAAAACUAGCGAUAAGUGUGUUAAGGGGAAAUAGUAAGGUGCUGGAUGUUAGAGAUUUGUGGUUAGGUCAACCUCGUCCUUCUUCCUUCGGUUUGGAGGAUAUGAUCGAUUUAUCUUCUUGGACAUAGUUUUUUAGUACGAGUUUUGGUCAUUCCUACUCCUUUUACGAGUGAGGUGAAAAUGAUUUUGAGCUGGAGCUGAUAGUAAAUGUAUGUUUGAACUAACGAAAAUGAUAAUGACGACAUAACUCUUUGUUAACUUGUGUCCUUAUAAUAUAGAUAAAUAUCCUUAUAACGACUAAUAUUAAUUCUUUUUCAAUAAAUUAUCACCAUUAAUGAAAUAACAUUAAUGCUUAAUAUUUGCUCGAAGGACACAAAUUUACCUAACCCAUUCUUUAAAGCUUCAAAUUACUGUCUUUGUCAAAAUGACUCUUGUAAAUCACACUAUUAAUUGACGAAUACAUGUUAGUCUAUCAAAAGUAAAAUCAUUU